This 238-nucleotide unclassified non-coding RNA is filed under the name Hevea brasiliensis (rubber tree). Lineage: Eukaryota; Viridiplantae; Streptophyta; Magnoliopsida; Malpighiales; Euphorbiaceae. The record is from RNAcentral.
UUCGUUAUGCAUCGGAUGUAAAUGUGGAAAGAGCAGAAGAUGUGCUCAUGCACAAGAGGUUGCUGGACAUAGCGGAGGAUCCUGAGAAUAGACCUGCCUUUGAUGUCCGCCUUGUGCAGGUUCAGCCUAUGUACACUGGAACGUCAACCAAUACUGUUGAUGUAGAUCCUUCAGUUAAUGAAGAAAUCCCAAGCAUUCAUCCUCCUCCAACUUUUGGUUCAUCACCAAAUCUUCAAGG